GGGCCCGCACAAGCAGCGGAGCGUGUGGUUUAAUUCGAUGAUACACGAAGAACCUUACCAGGGUUUGACAUGCAAGUGGUAGGGAUCCGAAAGGUGACCGACCCUUCGGGGAGCUUGCACAGGUGCUGCAUGGCUGUCGUCAGCUCGUGUCGUGAGAUGUUCGGUUAAGUCCGCUAACGAGCGCAACCCUCGCCGUGUGUUACAAGUGUCACGCGGGACCGCCGGUCUUAAGCCGGAGGAAGGUGGGGAUGACGUCAAGUCAGCAUGGCCUUUAUGUCCUGGGCUACACACACGCUACAAUGGCCAGUACAACAGGUAGCGAAGUCGCGAGGCGGAGCCAAUCCUCAAAGCUGGUCUCAGUUCAGAUCGCAGGCUGCAACUCGCCUACGUGAAGAUGGAGUUGCUAGUAACCGCAGGUCAGCUAUACUGCGGUGAAUACGUUCCCGGGCCUU
RNAcentral lists this ribosomal RNA (452 nucleotides) under uncultured bacterium. Its description in RNAcentral is "bacterial SSU rRNA". It matches the Rfam family "Bacterial small subunit ribosomal RNA", at positions 917 to 1382 of the family's 1533-position model. The record is from RNAcentral.